Molecule: long non-coding RNA, 1077 nt
Organism: Carassius gibelio (silver crucian carp)
Lineage: Eukaryota; Metazoa; Chordata; Actinopteri; Cypriniformes; Cyprinidae
Exons: 3
Source: RefSeq, a predicted model, not a curated record
AAGACAACGCCUCACACACCUGCUUUAGAACGCACUCAGGAGAGUUCUAACAGUUCAGACAUUGCGUGAAUCAGAGCCGUGAUUCCCAUCCACUUCCAUUAUAAGACUGACAGACUACAACGGUUUGUGUUAAAAAUCUUGGUUUGUGUUCUACUGAAGAAACAAAGUCACUCACAUCUUGGAUGCCCUGGGGGAGUCGCAGGAGAGGAGCCGGGAGGAGAGAGGUGGGCGAGUUUGAGCCCCGGCCGGCGAUUCUUCAGACAGCAGGAGAGAGAUUUCUCUUUUGCGUGAGAAGGAGAGAGUUUGGACAAACAGCGGGACCGACGGCCCCAAUCACAGUUUAUCCUGCUUCACAUUAAGCUGACUUGUCAACAUGUGGUUGGGAGAAGAAUGGCAUUGACUGAGAGCAAAGCCCACCGCUGGCUUCCGGAAUAAUCCACUGACCCUCAGCGAGCAGAUCAUGAGCUGCUGAAAGCUCAGCCUCGAGUAUUGUCUGCAGGAAAUAGAUUUAUGGGGUGGGUUUGUUGUCACUUGUGUCUUAUGAGACAAAGCAGAAGGGUUGAAAACCAAGACAAGAAAGCAACGGCAAAAUUAUAUAUUGUGUUAUGUUUCAAUUCUUGCAAUUUGAAGUCACACUCAGACGUUCUUUGCAUUAUUGUGGCAGAUGAAAUACCAGUCGUCUCAGACUGGAAUACUCUAUUUAAUCACAGCCCUAUCUAUCUAUCUAUCUAUCUAUCUAUCUAUCUAUCUAUCUAUCUAUCUAUCUAUCUAUCUAUCUGUCUGUCUGUCUGUCUGUCUGUCUGUCUGUCUGUCUGUCUGUCUGUCUGUCUGUCUGUCUGUCUGUCUGUCUGUCUGUCUGUCUGUCUGUCUGUCUGUCUGUCUGUCUGUCUGUCUGUCUGUCUGUCUGUCUGUCAGCCAUCCAUCCAUCCAAUCCAUCCAUCCGUCCGUCUGUCCGUCAGUCUGUCUGUCUGUCUGUCUGUUUUAUCAGUCUGUCAUCCAUCCAAUCCAUCCCAUCCAUCCAUCCAUCCUUCCGUCUGUCCGUCCGUCUGUCUGUCUGUCUGCCAUCCAUCCGUCCGU